Molecule: ribosomal RNA, 253 nt
Filed under: uncultured bacterium
Lineage: Bacteria
Description: partial 16S ribosomal RNA
Rfam family: Bacterial small subunit ribosomal RNA
Source: RNAcentral
UACGUAGGGGGCAAGCGUUGUCCGGAAUUAUUGGGCGUAAAGAGCGUGUAGGCGGUCCGGUAAGUCAGCUGUGAAAGUCAAGGGCUCAACCCUUGAAUGCCGGUUGAUACUGUCGGGCUAGAGUCCGGAAGAGGCGAGUGGAAUUCCCGGUGUAGCGGUGAAAUGCUUAGAUAUGACAUAGAACACCAAUUGCGAAGGCAGCUCACUACACAAUCAUUGACUCUGAGGCACGAAAGCGUGGGGAUCAAACAGG